GACGAGCGCUGGCGGCGUGCUUAACACAUGCAAGUCGAACGGAAAGGCCCUGCUUUUGUGUGGUGCUCGCGUCGCGAACGGGUGAGUAACACGGGAGUAACCUGCCCUUGACUUUGGGAUAACUUCAGGAAACUGGGGCUAAUACCGGAUAGGAGCUCCUGCUGCAUGGUGGGGGUUGGAAAGUUUCGGUGGUUGGGGAUGGACGCGCGGCUUAUCAGCUUGUUGGUGGGGGAGUGGCUUACCAAGGCUUUGACGGGUAGCCGGCCUGAGAGGGUGAACGGCCACAUUGGGCCUGAGAUACGGCCCAGACUCCUACGGGAGGCAGUAGUGGGGAAUAUUGCACAAUGGGCGGAAGCGUGAUGCAGCAACGCCGCGUGCGGGAUGACGGCCUUCGGGUUGUAAACCGCUUUCGGCUGUGACGAAGCGUGAGUGACGGUAAUGGGUAAAGAAGCACCGGCUAACUACGUG
This 468-nucleotide ribosomal RNA is filed under the name uncultured bacterium. RNAcentral's name for it is "partial 16S ribosomal RNA". It matches the Rfam family "Bacterial small subunit ribosomal RNA", at positions 28 to 507 of the family's 1533-position model. The record is from RNAcentral.